RNAcentral lists this ribosomal RNA (424 nucleotides) under uncultured prokaryote. RNAcentral's name for it is "bacterial SSU rRNA". It matches the Rfam family "Bacterial small subunit ribosomal RNA", at positions 355 to 796 of the family's 1533-position model. The record is from RNAcentral.
UGGGGAAUAUUGGACAAUGGGGGCAACCCUGAUCCAGCCAUGCCGCGUGAGUGAAGAAGGCCUUAGGGUUGUAAAGCUCUUUCAGUCGUGACGAUGAUGACGGUAGCGACAGAAGAAGCCCCGGCUAACUCCGUGCCAGCAGCCGCGGUAAUACGGAGGGGGCAAGCGUUGUUCGGAUUUACUGGGCGUAAAGGGCGCGUAGGCGGCUAUCCAAGUCAGGGGUGAAAUCCCGGGGCUCAACCCCGGAACUGCCCUUGAAACUAGGUAGCUAGAAUACUGGAGAGGUGAGUGGAAUUCCGAGUGUAGAGGUGAAAUUCGUAGAUAUUCGGAAGAACACCAGUGGCGAAGGCGACUCACUGGACAGUUAUUGACGCUGAGGUGCGAAAGCGUGGGGAGCAAACAGGAUUAGAUACCCCGGUAGUCC